CCUACGGGAGGCAGCAGUAGGGAAUAUUGCUCAAUGGGGGAAACCCUGAAGCAGCAACGCCGCGUGGAGGAUGACGGUUUUCGGAUUUUAAACCCCUUUUGUUAGAGAAGAUAAUCACGGUAUCUAUCGAAUAAGCACCGGAUAAAUCCGGGCCAGCAGCCGCGGUCAUACGUAGGGCGCAAGCGGUAAUCGGAAUCAUGAGGCGUUAAGAGUGCGUAGGCGGGAUAGCAAGUCAGAUGUGAAAGCCUAGGGAUUAAACAUAGAACUGCAUUUGACAAUGUUAUUCUAGAGUAUGGGCGAGGUAGGUGGAAUUCUUGGUGUAGGGGUAAAAUCCAUAGAGAUCAAGCAGAAUACUGAUUGCGAAGGC
Molecule: ribosomal RNA, 367 nt
Filed under: uncultured bacterium
Lineage: Bacteria
Description: partial 16S ribosomal RNA
Rfam family: Bacterial small subunit ribosomal RNA
Source: RNAcentral